RNAcentral lists this long non-coding RNA (310 nucleotides) under Helianthus annuus (common sunflower). Its description in RNAcentral is "hypothetical non coding rna". The record is from RNAcentral. Lineage: Eukaryota; Viridiplantae; Streptophyta; Magnoliopsida; Asterales; Asteraceae.
CCCCCCCCCCGCAUGCUCCUUUUCGGUUAGAUCGACGUUCAAUGAUGUCUCGUCGGUUGAAUUUUGUUGGACCGACGAAUAUGCGACUUUCGGUUAAACUCCGAUAUGCGGCGUGCUCUCCUCCUCCCAUAACAAAGAUGUCACUUUGAGGCCUUGUACGGCGGUAGUGUAGCUGCAACAUCCGCUGGAGCAUUCUUGGGGUAGUUCUAUGCGCUUUCUUUACACUUUCUCCACCGUUGAAGAGUUCUGGAGGUAGUUGUUUAUAUUUAGUUUGUUGUUGUUUGUUUCUUGAUGUAAUUAGUUGUGUUAU